This 273-nucleotide ribosomal RNA is filed under the name uncultured bacterium. RNAcentral describes it as "partial 16S ribosomal RNA". It matches the Rfam family "Bacterial small subunit ribosomal RNA", at positions 524 to 796 of the family's 1533-position model. The record is from RNAcentral.
GACGAACCGUGCGAACGUUGUUCGGAAUCACUGGGCUUAAAGGGCGCGUAGGCGGUUUACCAAGUCGGGGGUGAAAUCUUUCGGCUCAACCGGAAAAGGGCCUUCGAUACUGGUAAACUUGAGUGAGGUAGGGGCAGAUGGAACUUCCGGUGGAGCGGUGAAAUGUGUUGAUAUCGGAAGGAACGCCGGUGGCGAAAGCGAUCUGCUGGACCUCUUCUGACGCUGAGGCGCGAAAGCCAGGGGAGCAAACGGGAUUAGAAACCCCAGUAGUCC